UGCCAGCCGCCGCGGUAACACGGGGGGCGCAAGCGUUAUUCGGAAUUAUUGGGCGUAAAGGGCGCGCAGGCGGUCUGUUAAGUCUGAUGUGAAAGCCCGGGGCUCAACCCCGGAAGUGCAUUGGAUACUGGCAGACUUGAGUACGGGAGAGGGAAGUGGAAUUCCGAGUGUAGGAGUGAAAUCCGUAGAUAUUCGGAGGAACACCGGUGGCGAAGGCGGCUUCCUGGACCGAUACUGACGCUGAGACGCGAAAGCGUGGGGAGCAAACAGGAUUAGAUA
This 279-nucleotide ribosomal RNA is filed under the name uncultured bacterium. RNAcentral describes it as "partial 16S ribosomal RNA". It matches the Rfam family "Bacterial small subunit ribosomal RNA", at positions 506 to 784 of the family's 1533-position model. The record is from RNAcentral.